GAACGAGAAAGUGGAGCAAUCCAUGAGUACAGUGGCGACCGGGUGAGUAACACGUGACCAACCUGCCCUCGAGUGGGGAAUAACUCCGGGAAACCGGAGCUAAUACCGCAUAACAUCGCAAGAUCAAAGCCGCAAGGCGCUUGAGGAGGGGGUCGCGGCUGAUUAGCUAGUUGGUAGGGUAACGGCCUACCAAGGCGAAGAUCGGUAGCCGGCCUGAGAGGGCGCACGGCCACACUGGAACUGAAACACGGUCCAGACUCCUACGGGAGGCAGCAGUGGGGAAUUUUGCGCAAUGGGGGAAACCCUGACGCAGCAACGCCGCGUGGAGGAUGAAGUCCCUUGGGACGUAAACUCCUUUCGACCGGGACGAUACUGACGGUACCGGAAGAAGAAGCACCGGCUAACUCUGUGCCAGCAGCCGCGGUAAU
RNAcentral lists this ribosomal RNA (428 nucleotides) under uncultured bacterium. Its description in RNAcentral is "bacterial SSU rRNA". It matches the Rfam family "Bacterial small subunit ribosomal RNA", at positions 64 to 524 of the family's 1533-position model. The record is from RNAcentral.